AAAAAGACAAACCUAGUUUCCGUGCCCAACGUUCGGCCGUCCGUCUUAUUUAAAAAAAUUAUGAAUAAAAUUAAAAAGACAAGUCACGCAUAAAAUAUUAAUCAUGUUUUAUCAUCUAACAACAAUGAAAAUACGAAUUAUAAAAAAAUUUCAUAUAAGACGGACAGUUAAAGUUGNGGAGCCUUUUCAUCUUGAUGCGUACA
This is a non-coding RNA of Oryza glumipatula, 203 nucleotides long. The record is from Rfam. Lineage: Eukaryota; Viridiplantae; Streptophyta; Magnoliopsida; Poales; Poaceae.